AUGGGUGUCGUCCUGUUGGGCCGGAUGGGCUGCUUGUGUUCGUGUGGACACGAACGAAAGAGAAGGAAAGAGCGCACCUCACACGAGUCGUCAGAUCGCCAACGGACGGCGCAACGCGUACUACUUCCCUCGGCAGUAGAUCGAUCUAAGUCAGAGGAUCUCGUUCCCUUCGCAGGCCGCCGCAACCAACAGCGGAAGGCAUUCUUCCACUCUCCCCUGAAUCAUCAAAAAGAAAAGAAACGAGACCUUCCUCUCGAGACGAACCCUAGAUCCGAACUGACCUUCCGUCAGCUUCCUGUUCCGUGCGACAUGGAAGCUCGUCGGCGUCUUCAUCCGCCACCCGGUGCGGAGCUCUCCCGCCCUCACCCUCGCUGGGUGAUGCUAGAUCGCUUCGUCCACUACAAGGCGUACGCUGGUGAGGCUGUUGCGGAGGAGGUAAUGGACGGCACGCAAUCGGCGAUCUCCUCCACCUGCACCAACAUAAGCAUCGCCGUCUCUCUCAGGGUUGCUGAACCGCCCGCUGUGUCCCGUCUCUACCUCCACUGGCCCGAGUGA
This 555-nucleotide ribosomal RNA is filed under the name Triticum aestivum (bread wheat). RNAcentral's name for it is "partial small subunit ribosomal RNA". The record is from RNAcentral. Lineage: Eukaryota; Viridiplantae; Streptophyta; Magnoliopsida; Poales; Poaceae.